This 253-nucleotide ribosomal RNA is filed under the name uncultured bacterium. Its description in RNAcentral is "partial 16S ribosomal RNA". It matches the Rfam family "Bacterial small subunit ribosomal RNA", at positions 524 to 776 of the family's 1533-position model. The record is from RNAcentral.
GACAGAGGUGCCGAGCGUUAGGCGGAAUCACUGGGCUUAAAGCGUGUGUAGGCGGGUGCCUAAGUAACUUGUGAAAUCCCACGGCUCAACCGUGGAACUGCUUGGUAUACUGGGUAUCUUGAGCCACUUAGGGGCAACCGGAACAAACGGUGGAGCGGUGAAAUGCGUAGAUAUUGCUCGGAAGGCCAGAGCCGAAGGGGCCCUACUGGUGCGCAACUGACACUGAGGCACGAAAGCGUGGGGAGCAAACAGG